Molecule: transfer RNA, 65 nt
Filed under: Scolytoplatypus skyliuae
Lineage: Eukaryota; Metazoa; Arthropoda; Insecta; Coleoptera; Curculionidae
Description: tRNA-Arg
Source: RNAcentral
AAAUAAGAAGCAAACUGCAAUUUAAUUUCGACUUAAAACUAAGGUAGAUAAACUACCCUUAUUUA